AGAAAAUAGAUACCCUGGUAGUCCACGCUGUAAACGAUGAUUACUCGAUGUUGGCGAUACACAGUCAGCGUCUGAGCGAAAGCAAUAAGUAAUCCACCUGGGGAGUACGAUCGCAAGAUUGAAACUCAAAGGAAUUGACGGGGGCCCGGCACAAGCGGAGGAGCAUGUGGUUUAAUUCGAUGAUACGCGAGGAACCUUACCUGGGCUCGAACGUAAGAUGACUGUAGGUGAAAGCUUACAUCUCUUCGGAGCAUUUUACGAGGUGCUGCAUGGUUGUCGUCAGCUCGUGCCGUGAGGUGUCGGGUUAAGUCCCAUAACGAGCGCAACCCCUACCUUUAGUUGCCAACAGGUCAUGCUGGGGACUCUAAAGGAACUGCCUACGCAAGUAGUGAGGAAGGCGGGGAUGACGUCAAAUCAGCACGGCCCUUACGUCCAGGGCUACACACGUGCUACAAUGGCCGAUACAGAGGGCAGCUACCUGGUGACAGGAUGCAAAUCUCCAAAGUCGGUCUCAGUUCGGA
RNAcentral lists this ribosomal RNA (521 nucleotides) under uncultured bacterium. RNAcentral describes it as "bacterial SSU rRNA". It matches the Rfam family "Bacterial small subunit ribosomal RNA", at positions 774 to 1297 of the family's 1533-position model. The record is from RNAcentral.